This 253-nucleotide ribosomal RNA is filed under the name uncultured bacterium. RNAcentral describes it as "partial 16S ribosomal RNA". It matches the Rfam family "Bacterial small subunit ribosomal RNA", at positions 524 to 776 of the family's 1533-position model. The record is from RNAcentral.
GACGUAGGGCGCGAGCGUUGUCCGGAUUUAUUGGGCGUAAAGAGCUCGUAGGCGGCUUGUUGCGUCGACCGUGAAAACCCGGGGCUCAACUUCGGGCUUGCGGUCGAUACGGGCGGGCUAGAGUUCGGUAGGGGAGACCGGAAUUCCUGGUGUAGCGGUGAAAUGCGCAGAUAUCAGGAGGAACACCAGUAGCGAAGGCGGCACUCUGGGCCGGUACUGACGCUGAGGAGCGAAAGCGUGGGGAGCGAACAGG